UACAGAGGGUGCGAGCGUUGUCCGGAAUCACUGGGCGUAAAGGGCGCGUAGGCGGUGACUUAAGCGUGUGGUGAAAGCUCGGGGCUCAACCCCGAGUCGGCCGUGCGAACUGGGUCACUGGAGCAUGUCAGAGGCAGGCGGAAUUCCGGGUGUAGCGGUGGAAUGCGUAGAGAUCCGGAAGAACACCGGUGGCGAAGGCGGCCUGCUGGGCAGUAGCUGACGCUGAAGCGCGACAGCGUGGGGAGCAAACAGG
RNAcentral lists this ribosomal RNA (253 nucleotides) under uncultured bacterium. RNAcentral's name for it is "partial 16S ribosomal RNA". It matches the Rfam family "Bacterial small subunit ribosomal RNA", at positions 524 to 776 of the family's 1533-position model. The record is from RNAcentral.